Molecule: ribosomal RNA, 301 nt
Filed under: uncultured bacterium
Lineage: Bacteria
Description: partial 16S ribosomal RNA
Rfam family: Bacterial small subunit ribosomal RNA
Source: RNAcentral
CAGCCGCCACGGGAAUACGAAGGGGGCUAGCGUUGUUCGGAAUUACUGGGCGUAAAGCGCACGUAGGCGGACAUUUAAGUCAGGGGUGAAAUCCCGGGGCUCAACCCCGGAACUGCCUUUGAUACUGGGUGUCUAGAGUAUGGAAGAGGUGAGUGGAAUUCCGAGUGUAGAGGUGAAAUUCGUAGAUAUUCGGAGGAACACCAGUGGCGAAGGCGGCUCACUGGUCCAUUACUGACGCUGAGGUGCGACAGCGUGGGGAGCAAACAGGAUUAGAUACCCCGGUAGUCCCUGUCUCUUAUAC